This 19330-nucleotide long non-coding RNA is filed under the name Vitis vinifera (wine grape). RNAcentral's name for it is "long non-coding RNA (VVIN_LNC005158)". The record is from RNAcentral. Lineage: Eukaryota; Viridiplantae; Streptophyta; Magnoliopsida; Vitales; Vitaceae.
UGAAAAAGAAAUAUGCCAUAUCAGGUCUCCCCCAAGGUCCAUAAACGGUAAAGAACCGCAACCCAGUAAGCGAGAGACCAUAUAUAUGAUUGUAAGUAUGGGCCAUCUCCUCGCCAGCCUUCUUGGUGGCGGCAUAGAGACUGGCAGGCUGAUCCGUCCGAUCUCUCUCGGAGAAGGGUACUUUUGUAUUGAGUCCAUACACUGAACUCGAAGAAGCCCACACAAUUGCAGGCUGUGGGUUCGCGGAUUUACAGACUUCAAGAAGAUUAACAAGACCAGCAAUAUUACUAUGAACAUAGGAGCUUGGAUUUUCCAUUGCAUACCGAACACCAGCCUGAGCCGCCAAAUGCAUUACAUGGGUAAAUGUAACUACGUCAAAUAGCUUCUUGAGAAGCUCUGAAUCGUUGAUAUCACCCUCCACAAUGAACACACCGGUACGCUCAAGAAGAGCUUGCCGGGCACGUUUCAAGGACGGAUCAUAGUAGUCAUUAAAGUUAUCAAGCCCGACAACGCCAUCGCCGCGGCGCUUGAGUGCGGCGGAGACGUGGGUUCCAACGAAUCCGGCAGCGCCGGUGACGAGCACAGAGAUCCCAUUGCGAGCGCGCACUUUGGCCGAUGAUCGGACCCGCUUUUCCCAGGCAGGACCGCCCCAACUGUAGGACCGGAAGGACCGGAUUGAGGAAUCGGAAGGCAGAGAUGACGAUGACGGCGAUCGGAAGAAAAAGAUGAAAAUCAAGCCCGAGAAAACGAAGGACCAAAAUGUGAGCUUGGCCAGAGAGGAGUGCCACCUGAGCCUCUUUUCCAUCUUGAACUUUCCUGGGGUAGAAGGGAUGUUGUCAAGAUGGGACAUUUGCUUGAGCUGAGACAUUUUCCGUAGAAAAUGGAGGACUCUGAAACAAACCCAGAUUUUCUCUUCCUGUGAAUCCUCAGAAUGUGAGUGAAAUUUGGAGGAAAGGAGAAAUCUAGGGUUCGGGUUUCAGGAAUGAAUCUUGAGAAAUUCCUAGUGUUGCUGUCGAGGAAAAAGAAAUCAAAGAAAAGGGUUUGUUCUCCUUGGCCUCUCUUACCUUAUUGUUCUUACAUAUGUAUGUAUGGAAUCUUACAGUUUCUUGGAAAUAUUGGUUGGUGGUGGUAGUCACUUUUAGGGCUUGUAGUUCUACAGACGGAAGAGGAAGACAUGAUCUUGAAUUAAUAAUUAAGCAAAUACUGAUUUUCUAGAGAGAGAAAAUGACAGAAUUGUAGAGAGAGACAUUAACGCGUUUGAUGAAUUUAAAAUGAAGUAACGGGGAUCAACAAGAGUCAAAGCAAUUGUAAAAAGUCUAAAAACGGUGUGGAAUGGGUUAGAUUCAAUAGAUUUUUAUUUAUUUAUUUUAUAUUUUCAUUAUCACCUUAAAAUCAUAGCAAAAAAAAAAAAAAAAAAACAGAAAUUAAAGAAUGGACGAAUAUAGUAAAAUGGGAAUCUAACUAUCUAGUUUUUUUCCCACCUUAAAUUGAUUGGGAGGCCUUAAAUUUUGAUCUCUCCAUUUUUAAACCCUCUUUGUUUAACAUUAGUUCGUGUGGGGGUUAUUAUCCUUGGAAGGAGUUUUUGGAGAUGGUGUGGAUGAGAUUUUGACGCUAAUAAUGAGGGGUUUACAGUUUUCUCACCAUUGAAAAUGGAGAGAGAUCUGUGGGGAUUUGGAAAUGGGAAUUUUCUUUGGAGUUUUUCAUUUAUGAUGAUGAAGAUGCUCAAGGUUACAACUGUAAUCAACUAACCAAAGUUGCAAGUACCCAAUCAAAUUUUGUUUUUAUUUUCUUGUCUUUUACCAAAGCAUUUCUUUUUCAACAUAGAAUAUAGUGUUAUUGUGUAUUUAAGACACUUAAAAAAACAAUCAACAUUCCUUAGGUUUUUGUAUUUGACUCCAAUUCAUUUGUACCAAAUAUGAGAUAUUAUUACUUUAUAGAUUGGUUUUAUUCCAUUUUAUUUUCAUCUCAUUUGUUUAUAUCUUAAUUUUUUUUUAUUUUUUUUUACUCCAAACUCAUUACUUUGCAUCAAAUCUUAUUUAUCUAUAUUUCAUAUCGGGUUUUAUUACUUUAUACCUUAAUCUCAUUGUGGCCCCCGCAUUUUCGGCUCAAUGCGUUUCCCACUCGAUGGCGAACUCGACUUUUAUUUGAAAAAUUGAUUUUAUUGAUUAGGAAAAAUGACUUGGAGUCGCCACUUAUUUUUGUUUUAUUUUUAAAAGGGUAAACAAAAUAAGAAAGAAAAACCCUAAGUGUGACUCCUUACUUUGGAAAAGGUGGUCUGUGAAAAACCGGAUCGGGUUCGGGGGUCAGGUUACUUAUCAAGAAGGUACGGUAAAGACCGUAGCACCCCUCUAAGCCCCUAAAAUGGGUCUCUACUAAUAAAAUGGAGCAAUCAUAGCAAUUAAUUAGGAAAUCAAUGGAUACCCGGAACUAUCAUGCACAUAUGAGAAUCAGAAUAUGCAUAGAGAAUAACCAAAGUGGAAGUGGAUGUGUACUUGUUCAGCAAACAACAACGCGCUAUCACAAAAUAGGGUUAGUGGACAAACACAGGUUGAUUAUGUACAUAUCACGGAACAUAGCAGAUCAAUCACGCAUGGCAAAUAAAUCAAUCAAUCGAUCAAUCAAUCAAUCAAUCAUAAAAUCAUGUAUGUGGGGCCCCCACCAAAGCCCGUUUAUUUUGCAUGAAUUAAUAUCACAGAUUCUAUUACUCAAGAAUUAUGAAAAGUUCAUUCAUGCUUAUGCAAAGUCAAGAGGAACAAAAGAUUAUUUGAAACCUAAUGGAAUUAAAACAGUUGGAGAGAAAACCAGAUUUUCUUGAAAUUUAUUUGAAAAUUGGAGUCUUGGGAAUUAAAUUUAAGAAUUUGAAUUUUUGAGAUUAAAUUUGAAAGAAAUUGGAAUUUUUAAAAGGAUUUGAGAAUUGAUGUCUUGAAAAUUAAAUUUAAGAAUGGGAACUUUAGAAAUUAGAUUUUAAAGAAAUUGGAAAUCGGAACUUUAAAGGAUUAUUUAAAAAUUGGAAUUUAUUUAAAGUUGGAAUUUUCAAAAAUAAAUAAUUAAGAUGAAUAAAAUAAUAACAAUAGCGAAAAUAAUAAUGAUUAGAUAAAGAAAUGUGAAAAAUGGAAUUUUGAGGGAUUAUUUAAAAAUGGAAUUCUUUUAAAAAUGAAUGAAUCAACAAAUAAAUGGAUAUAAUAAUAAUGAAUAAUUAAAUAAUGUGAAAAUUGGAAUUCCGAAAAAUUGGAUUUGAAAAUUAGAUUUUGAGAAUUAAAGUUUCGGAAAUUAAAUUUGGAAAUUGGAGUUUUAAAACUUAUUUGAAAACAAUUUGGAAUUUUUGAAAAAUUAGUUGAGAAUUAAGAUUUUGGAAAUUAGAUUUAAAAACCUAAGUUUUAAAAAUUUUAUUUGAAAACGUGAAGUGGAAAUUAAGAAAGAGAUGAAAGCAUUUAAUAAAAAAAGAAAAUGGGUCCAUUGUCUGCAGGCUUCAAUAUUUUAUAAUGGGUUGUGUACUACUUUGUUGACUUUUGUUUUUUUAAUUUAUUUAUUUAUUUGUUUUGGCUUCAGCCUUUGCGAGACCUUCACAGUAGAUAAGCCCAUUUUCUAGUUUUUUUGAAACAGAGCUCAAAUUUCUGGGUAUGACUGGUUAUGGAUGGAGAGACCCAUUUUCAGGCGACAUCCGUGGCCAAGGUGGGUGGAAUUAACAGAAGCGAAAAGCAUGAUUUCGGGCAUCAAACUCAAAUAAACAGAGACAAAAAUAAUUCCAACACCAAAAUGAAGAAAACGAAAUGAACUAUAGCUCAGUUAAUGCAACUCACGAAUCAGUCAAAUAUGCACUCUGAUUCGCACCUGGAGAAUCCCGAAAAUCCCUUUUGCUGAAAAUCCUUUUUCAACCCCUCUUUCCCAGCUCCUCUCUCUCUCUCUUCCCGUUCCUCUGUUCUGCUCUCCAGAUUUUUUUCUCUUCAAAGAAACCUCCCAACUGCUACCCGUUUUCCUCUCUUUCACCCAGCUCCCAGCCGCUCCUGAUUCCCCCCCCUCUAAGAUAAUAUUUUCUUCCUUCUUGGGCAAGCCAUUCUGCCUACUACUAGACGUCCCAUCUCGCCGUCUCCUUCAGCUAAAAUCCCGGGAUGGUCCGAAUAGUCAUCAGCAAAAAAUAAAAUGGCCUCUAACUCCUCCCCGAGAGGGGGUCUACACUCAUUUAUUUAUACUUGAUUUUAUCUAUUUUAAUAUCAUGUAUUCACAUUUUUGUUUAAAACCCCGAAUUGCUUUGUACACUUUUAGUAACUUACAUUUGAAAUUCAAUAGAUAUAGAUGCGUGUCUUAGUAAUUUUUUAGUCAAAUGAUAAAAAAAAUUGAAAUUUCAGAUGGGAUUUUUCUUGGACCUCUUAUUAUGGAGUAGUUUUCUUUCCAUUUGUUCUCACUCCUUAGCACAUUGGACUAUCAAAUGAGAUAUGUUGCAUCGUGUUUAUGCAUGGUUUGUAGAAGAAAUAGAAUGAAAAAUAUAUUAAAUUUUAAUAUUUGAUAUUUUUUAAAUAAAAAAUAUAUCAUAUGUUAAUGUUUGUUAUUAAAAAAUAUAAAAUCUUUUUCAUCUUUACUAUCAUUUAAAAAUUAUUUUAUAAUUUAUCAUUUAAUAAUUAUUUCUUAUUUCUAUAUUAAUAAUAUUCAUGAUUAAAAUUUUAUAAUUUUAUAAAUAAAAAAUAUUAAAUUAUAUUGACGUAUAUAUAAAAAUGUUUUCUACAUAUUACAUAUUAUAUUAUUACACAUUUUAUAAUUCUUUUCUUUUUCAAAUUAAAAUUUUAAUUUUUUUAAUCAUAUUAAUGCUCCAAGCACUAUUGUUUAUUAAUGAGAGCAAGUACAAAACUUGAUCAUAUUAAUAUGUCAACAUGAUCCUAGUGCACACAUUGGAAUUGGUUAACUCUAAAAUGUUCUACCUGUCUUGUUUUACAAAUUUCAAUUUGGCUUCCUUUGCUAAAUUAUUUCACAUAUAUUGUGAAGAGGAUUCAUCAAAGCAAGUGAAAUCCAAAAUCAUCUUUAAGUUAUUUUAUCAAUGUUAUCCUUGACUUCUACACGGUAAAAUUUAGCAUAUUCAAAACAUCUUUUACUUAUAGGGGCACUUUUAGGAUGAAGUUCGUUCAAAAUUAAAAUGUUAACUAUUAGGUUUGAUAGAUUAGAAUGCAAGAUGAUGUAAUUUUCUUGAUUUCUAUGUUGAGUUGUGUGAUAUUGUCAACUCUAGUUUCGAUCUAGGUGAAAAUCCUUAAAUAUAAGGUAGUAAGAAAAAUUCUUGAGUAUCUCCCUCGGGAAUUUUGACCUAAGGUAACUACCAUAUAGGAAAGUAAGAAUAUUGACUCAUGAGAAUUGAUAAAUUUGUAGGGUUUCUUCAAAUUUGCGAGAUAUUUCUACUUAAUUAUAAGAACCCGAAGUGUGUAGUCCGAAAAGCUUUUAUAAAUGAAGGUAAUGAGUUUGACAAACCAAAGGAUCCAUGUUGAUCUUUUGACCAACUUUCCUUUUUUGCUAAAAAAUAAUGUAAGCUUACAAAAAUCUCUUACAAAAUCAAACUUGAAAAAAGGGAAAUGGCCAAAAAUUAAAGAUGGAAAAAGAGAAGGGUUUGUCUAAAAAGCAAGAAAUUUGAAUGCUUCAACUGUAGCAAAAUAGCACAUAUGACAUUUAAAUCCUAAAAUAGUAAAAAAGCAAUGCAAGUGACUUGAAAUUAUACCAAGUUUGAUGAUUGUGAGUGUGAUGAUUCCUGAUUCCUAUAAAAGUAAAGUAAAAAAUAAUUUAGUUACUUAUGUUGUAUUUGUGACUGUUUCAUAUUGUGAUCCCUUUUUUAAAAUGAAUCAAAAUUAUAAAAGUAAGUUUAAUUUUGAUGAUAUUCAUUUUACCUAUGAUGCAUUGUUUGUAAAAGGUCUUUUGUACACUUUAAAAUUUGUUUUAAUUUUAUUUUUACUUUAAUUUUAAGUCUAAUUUUAUCUUUAAAUUUUAAAUGCGAUCACAAUUGAUUUUUUUGGCUCACUCAUACCCUUUAAAUCUUAUUUUUUGUUAUGUUAUGUUAUUUUAUAUUAUAUUAUAUUAUAUAUUUUAUUCAUUUAUUUUUUAUUUUACUUUUUUUUCUUGCUUGCUUUUAUUUUUUCCCUUCUGUCUCCCCAUACCCCACGUGAGAGACCCCAAACCCCCCUUCUUCUAAUUGUGCUUGCAUUUUGAUUAUUAAUUUACAAAUCUUGGGCUAAAACCUAUAGCAUGUGGGAUAUUUCUAUUGAGUUAUAUUUGUUAAUUUAGACUCAUUUUAAUUGGUAAAAUUUAUUAUAUUAAUUUAAAGUUUGAAUUCGGAUUUGAAUAUUAGUUUUGGAUUUUAUACAUUUUUUAUGUUUAUAUUUAAACUAUUUUUGUAAAUUAAAGCGAGAUUCGUCGUUGAAUGAGAACACACGUGAAAAACAUGGGUCCACACCUCUAUCAUGCUUUAAAAGUUGAAAAUGGUAAUCUACUUAAGGAUUUGGACACCUUAAAAAUUGAGGAAAAAAAAAACUUUUUAAUAUGGUAAAAUUUAGUGUGUUUGAACAUAAUGUUAUAAUUGUUAAAAAUAUUGUUGUAGCGAAGCAGUUUAUUGAAAUGUGAACUAUCGCGGAUUGUUGCUUUUUUGUCGGUCCAUUAAUACACCUAAUUCUUUACUUGGAACUUAAGAGGCAUAACCAUGGCUCUACUAUGUGUUGAAUAAUUUUCACUACUCAAUGGUUUAAAAACAAGAAUGAAAUCUAGUCUACCAUAACGAUGGAUCAAUUGAUAAUUCAAAAUAGGUGAUUUUAGUGGAAAAAGAAGUGCAAAGUUUAAAGAAAAAAUGUUCUAUUUGAUAAAUAUUUUUUAAAAUAGUUUUAAAAAAUAGUUUUUGAAAACUGCUUUUUAAAACAAAAACUUAUUCAGAACUUGAAAUAUUUUCAACAUGUUUUUAAUAUUUUUAAAUAUAUUUUAAAAAUAAUUUUUGUCUAAAACUUUAUUUUUAAUUAAUAUACAUAUUUUAUAAUUAAUUUUUAAAAUAACUCUAAAAAAAUAAAUGAAAACAAGUAAAAACAAUUAAGAGAUAGUUUUUGAAAAUAUCUUGUUCAAUGUUCAAAAUAAAAAACAAUUUUUGAUUGUGAAAUACAUUUUUCAAAUUUUUUUAUAAAAAAGAAAAAAUUCUAAUACCCUAAUUGUCUUGAUUGAUUGGAUUUGAAAACACCAAGUGAAAUAAACGGAGUUUAAGACCAAAAUAAUUUAUUUGUAAAAAAAAAUGAUAAGAAUAGUAUCCAUUUCAAAAUAUUUGUCAAAGUAGUCUUCUUUAUCUACGUAAGCAUCCACAUGGAUUUUAAGUGUAAAAAACCACCGUUGGUGACUGUGGUUUUAAAACUUACAGAAAUUUCCUUAAAACCACAGUUACAAACUGUGGUUUUACAAUUUAUCUUAGAACCAUAGUUAGUAACUGUGGUUUUAAAAGAAGUAUCCUUAAAACACAGUUACAAACUGUGGUUUUACAAUUAUUUUUAAUUCGUCCCUAUUUUAAUGGUGUUAUAAUUUUAAUAUUAUUUUUAAAAUAUUUUUUUUAUCAAAACAACCAUAAAACCACCGUUACUAACUGUGGUUUUACUAAUGGUGUUGUAAUUUUAAUAUUAUUUUUAAAAUAUUUUUUAUCAAAAUAACUAUAAAACCACAGUUAGUAACUGUGGUUUUACAAUUAUUUUCAAUCCACAUCUAUUUUAAUGGUGUUGUAAUUUUAAUAUUAUUUUUAAAAUAUUUUUUAUUAUCAAAAUACCCAUAAAAUCAUAGUUACUAUAACUAUGGUUUUAAAAGAAGUAUCCUUAAAACCACAGUUACAAACUAUGGUUUUACAAUUUCCCUUAAAACCACAGUUAGUAACUGUGGUUUUACAAUUAUUUUUAAUCCACACAUGUUUUAAUGGUAUUGUAAUUUUAAUAUUAUUUUAAAAAUAUUUUUUAUCAAAACAACCAUAAAACCACAGUUAGCAACUGUGGUUUUACAAUUAUUUUCAAUACUCUAUUUUAAUGGUGUUGUAAUUUUAAUAUUAUUUUUAAAAUAUUUUUUUUAUCAAAAUUACAAUUAUGUUGUAAUUUUCACAAAUAUUUUUAAGGGGAACUCAUGUGUAAAAAAGUAUGGGAUUUUAGAACUUUGCUUCUCACAAAUUUUUUUAUUAUGACUGUUUUAAAAUAUAUAUAUAUAUAUAUAUAUAUAUAUAUAUAUAUAUAUAUAUAUAUUUUAUCUUUAUUUUUUCAUAUUUUCCUUGAAAAUUUGAGAAAAUAAUUUGGUCUACAUGCAUUCCCAUAAAAGUUUAUAUAUUUAUGGUAAAUAAAAUAUUUAUUUGUUUUACAAAUAUUUUCACAUAUGAACUAAAGAAAAUUAUUUAUUCAUAUUAUUUUUAAAAUUUAAAAUAACUAAAGAAAUUGUUUAUAUUAUUUUAAAAUUUUAUAUUUUCAUAUGAAAAUUAAUGCCAAUGAUUAUGAUUUUAGGUUAUUUAUUAUUAAGUAUGAUUUGAACUUAUGUCUUGGUUAAAAUGUAUAAUUUUUUAAUUAUAUGAAAGAAAAAUAGGUAAUGGUUGUAAUAAUUUAUUUAGUUAGAAUUUCUUUCAUUUAGACUUUAGGAUACAUUUGAGUUUUAUUUGUUUAAAUUAUCAAGGAAACAUGUGAAUAACAUAACAUCACUAAUUUGAAUUAACACUUUAUAUAACCUUAAAUGUAUAAACCAAAGUAUAAUAGUUCUACAAACAUGAAAAAUUAUCUCAAUGUGUCCCACAUGAUGGAAUCUUUCUCUUUCGUUGUGAACAUCUACGGUAGAUGGCCAUAUUUGUUGUAUCCAUCUGUGCUAUAUGAAAAGUCUCCAUCUCUAUAGACUGUGACACGUCAUCUACAUGAGUUGUUGAGAUAGAUGGAACUGAUGGAGGUAGAACUCGACGUACACGUGGAGCUCGAUGUCCUCUAGGUACCAGUACAUGUAAUCGUGUAGCAUGAGCUGUCCCCUGAAGAAAAGGUAGAGAUGCAAUGGACUCUAUAACAGGUGGAGGUGCAAUAGACUCUGUAACAGGUGGGGGUGCAAUAGACUCUGCAAUAGGUGGGGGUGCAUCCAAUGAUAUAGAUGGCUGAACAGGGGUAAGGGUAGAUGGUAUGGUAGUCUCGGGUCGAGGUGAAUAGGCUGGUAUGGAUACAUCAGGGGGAGAAAGUGGCGACUCUAAUGAUGCAGAUGGCUGAAAUAAAGGAAAGGUAGAUGUGAUUGGUGGAUGUGAGGGUUGUACCAAAGUAGAUGCCAAAGGUACAUGUCGGUGACCAGCUCGACGACCAUCUCUCCCCCGACCUCUAAUGGGUGGUACCCUAACAGGCGUAAUCAAUGAUGGUGUUCUCAUGGAUGACCCUGAAGAUGUGGAUGGCUCAUGUGUCGAGUGUACAUGAUGGUCCUCUCCUAUAGCACGUAAAACAUCAAUAGCAAUUCAAUGAGUUUCCUCUAAAUCAUUUGAAAUAGCCAUCUGCGAUACGACGGUGAUCUGUAUAAGAAAAUGAAACAUGAGGCAUUUGCACAUAAUUUAAGUUUAACAUUCAUUAAAAAAUGGUUUUGUAUCUCAAAUGCUUUCACCAAUAACUCAGUGGCAGAAGCUGCACUAUGGAACCUCAUAUGAUCUCUAUGCAAAACAGGUGCGAUCAGGCGUCGCAUGAUACGUCGAUACCACUGCAUAUAUGGAUCAUAAAAAGACAUGGUAGUAAUCGCAAGUGGUGCUGUCGCAAUACGCUCAGAACGAGUAGCCCAAAGAGAAAUAUACUGAGCAUGGAAUGUGACCCAAUCGUACUGAUGUCGUCCUCGCCUAUCCACUAAAUGUAGCUCCAUAUCUAUCAAACAAGGUGGAGGUAUCCCUUGUUGCAUACGAAACUGGCGUAAAACUCGCUCUGGUCUAUGCCACUCGAUAAUAUCAAAGCAAAUUAGAGGUAACAUAGUUCGCCAAAUUUCUUCAUCAGCCUGACAUAUAGCCGGAAGAUGUGCAAUCAAAUCUGUUGUAUAUGGUUCCCAUAAUACCUGUAAUUGACCAGUAGUAAUGGUUGAGAAAGUUGAACAUGUAAAAUAUGCCACAAAAAAUAUGAAAAAUUAGCACUAAUGUGAAGAGCAUGCUUUGAUCAGUGUAAAGCAAAGACCAGUACAUUAAGCUAUACAUUAAGCAGGAGUGUAUUUCCAUUCCAUAUUGGGAUUUCAUAGGUUUCCCCUAAGCACCCUGCUAAAGGCCAUAUUUAAUUUCAAACCCUUCAACUUUCAGUCAGUAAACUCUCAUUUUAAUAACCAAGGCAUAAUAACAUCUUUCACAUACUUAUCCAAGAAAAGUUAAAAGGAAAAAACAUCAUCAACAGUUAUCAUCAUCCAAUUUGUGAUUGGAAUUGGCUAAAAAGAAAAAUUUACACUUCAUGUGCAGGGAUAACAGAAAAUAAUAAACCAAAUGAUAGUGUAGUCACAAAUUCAUCAGGGGUGGCCCUGUCCUGUAAUACAUCAUCAUUAUUCCAGGUAUAAUCAAAGCCAGAUAGCAAUAGACCAUUUGUCCCAAUUUUGAGGAACUCAUUGAAACAUAUUCUUUUCUAAAAUUAAUAGCCACUUGAUGCAUUGUAACUAUGUUAAUUUCCAACAUAUUAACUCCAUUUUUAUAGAAAAAAGAAUUUUUUUUUUCUCCAUUUCGAAACCCCAAUUCGAAAAAACCUUAACCUCUCCAAGUCUCUCUCUCUCCCCCACCUUCAUCCAAUCCGAAAUCCAUAUUUUGGAUCACGAUGAAGAUGAAUCAUGGGCAGAUCAACAGUUAUCAGGAUUCCGAGAUGAGAGGAAAAUGAGGCAAAGGUUAGGGUUUUUCGGGUUCCAGGAUAAAAGGAAUACAAGGUGGAGGAAAGGGUUUUUCAAGUUUUUUGGAUAGCUAUGAAAUUGAAAACAACUUGAGAUUUUUAAAAUUUUCAAAACAACUUGUUUUCCUCUAUUUGGUUGGUGAGAAAGCUAAGGAAAAUGAGUGGGAAAAAACUCAUGAACCCGAAAAAAAUUUACCUAGCUGCUGGUGGGAGCCACUGGUGGGAGCCGCAACCGGUGAAGAGAGAAAAUGGAGCCGUAGAAAAGAGAAUACUUUCUGGAUUGUUGAUUUCGGGAAAAAAUUGGGUCUCCAAAGUAAAAAAAACAAGUUUGACGAAGAUGGCUUGUUGAUGUGGAUUGCUGAUGUAGAUUCAAAAGAGUAUUUUGGCAAAUAGUUUGAAAAUUGGAUUAGUUUGGGUUUUUUUUUCCAAAGAAAUACUACUUUGGCUGUAAACUCAAAUAAACGUGCACAUCAAAGAAUCAUGUGUGGAAGUGAAUGGAGGGCAAAGCCUUUAAUGCAACAACUAAAAAUUCACAGUUCCAUGCGCAUGGAUGCUUGGGUCCCAAAGUCUCAUCCUUCUUUGUUGCAAAGAGAUUUUCUAAACCACAAGCUUUUCCGGUAAAACACAAGUGGUGCUUCACUGAGUUUUGGGUCAAAAUGACCCAUUUAUUAAAAAAAAUAUAUAGGAUCUAACCACUUUAUGAAACUUAUAUUCAAAUAACCACUUUAUGAAACUUAUAUUCAAAUAACCACUUUAUGAAACUUAUAUUCAAAUUGAUAUUUUGGUACCAAGUAGGAGCUUUGUCACUGUAGACCCUCAUUUUGGCGUAAGUCUUUUUUAUUAUUUUUGAAGUACUUUGCUGCCAGCAUGAUUUAGAGUGGGGGUCGGUUUCCUUUGGAGCCACAUGCAUGGGACGCAUGACCAAGAACACACCACCAUCUCGCCAUGGUGGUGGUUGAAAUGGGAUUGGUUUUGAACGGAUGACAGAGAAUGAGAUAGGGAGCAGUGGAACGGGUGAGGGGAGAGUUUUUCAAAGAAAAAACUGGUGAGUUUUCCGGAGGGGGGGGGAGAGCUGUAAGAAACAGAGACGGUUGGGAGAGAAAGAAAAAACAAACAGAGUUGGGUGAAGUUUUUUUGGGGAAGAAAAAAUCUGGAGAGUGGGUUCUUGGGACAAUUGGGGGGAGUGAGGGUCUUCAUUUUUGAACCGUAGCUGCAGGAAAUAGGCUGAGAGAGCUUUUUGGUGAGAGUUUUUUUUUAGAGCAAAGAAGGGAAAAGGAAAUAUAAGAGUAGUAGCUUGGAAGAAAAACAGGGGAGUUGAGUUAGCUGUUGGGGGGAGUGCUGGAAAACGUGAAUAGCUUGAGAGAGAUGAGAAGUGGAGAUCUAGCUUUUCGGGAGAGGAAAAGAGAGAGUUGGACUUAUGCGGGUGGUAGCUUGGAAGAAAAAUAAAAAAAUGGGUGAGCUGAGCAUGGAAACCAGGGAGGAGAGGGGAUGAAAAUGAGUGGAAGUGGAUUCCGGAGGGAGAGGUAAAGUGUAGGAUAAGAUGAGACUGGGAGAAAAGAUCUGGGUGUUGAGAGUCUGAUGGUUUUUUAUUAGGAAGUUGUGAAGAAGUCAUUACAUGCAGUGGGGUUUCCUCAGGUUUUUUUCCAUUUGGGUUCCUUCUCAAAAGGUGAUAUUUUUCUAUUUAUUUAUACAUCUUCUGAGUUUCGUUUUUGUUGGGAUUUUGUGAUGGUAGGUUAGAGAAUUUCUGCUUUGUUUUGGAAUCCCAUCUUUGUUUUUGAGUUCUUGACUUAUUAUCAUCAUGAUGACGGUUGGAAAAUUUGGUUUGCUCAGCUGAGUUUUUCCACCUAGAAAUGGCACAAUUGAGGCUAUGGGCAUAACAUAGCAUGGAAAACUCAACUAAAUGAUGGGUCCUAAUACUAUUAGCUCAUUUCCAAUUUUCCAUUCUUCCCAUUUUCUCAUACGGCCACCAAACCUAUUUUUUUCUCACUAUUUCCUCCACUUAAAUUGAUUUCAAUUCGCUAUCAUGCGGGUGCAACCCACAUUUCCAUUUUAAUUCUCCAUUUUUUUUUUAUAUCAAAGUUCAAUUUUCCAAAAUUCCCACUUUUAAAUUUAAUCUUCAAAUAAUUUUCCAAAAUUUCAAUUUUCAACUUAAAAUUUUUUAAAACUUCCAUUUUAAAAUAAUUUCCCAAAAUUCUGAUUUUUAAAUUUAUUUUUUUUAAAUUUAAUUCUCAAACAAUUCUUCAAAUUUUAAUUUUCAAAACUUCAAUUUUCAAGUACUUUUCUAAAAUUCCAAUUUUCAAAUCCAAUUUUCAAAAUUUCAUUUUUCAAAUAAUUUUCCAAAGUUCAAAUUUCCAAAUUUAAAUUUUUAAAGAUUCCAAUUCUUAAAUUUAUUUUGCAAAACUCCAACUCUCAAAUAAUUUUUAAAAUUCCACUUUCUUUCAAUUUUAAUUUCCAAAACUCCAAUUCUUAAAUUUAAUUUUCAAAACUCCAAUUCUCAAAUAAUUUUUAAAAUUCCAAUUUCUUUCAAAUUUAAUUUCCAAAAUUCCAAUUCUUAAAUUUAACUUUCAAAAUUCCAUUUUCAAAUAAUUAUCCAAAACUCCAACUUUCAAAUUUAAUUUUAAAAAUUUCAUUCUCAAAUAAUUUUCAAAAUUCCAAUUCUUAAAUUUAAUUUUCAAAACUUUAAUUCUCAAAUAAUUUUCAAAAUGCCAAUUUCUUUCAAAUUUAAUUUCCAAAAUUCGAAUUCUUAAGUUUAAUUUUCAAAACUCCAAUUUUCAUUUAAUUUCUAAAACUCAAAUUCUUAAAUUUAAUUUUCAAAACCCCAAUUCUUAAAUUUAAUUUUCAAAACUCCAAUUCUUAAAUAACUUUCAAAAUUCCAAUUUCUUUCAAAUUUAAUUUCCAAAAUUUGAAUCCUUACAUUUAAUUUUCCAAUUUUCAAAACUCUCAUUUUCAAAAUUCCAAUUUUCAAAUUGAAUUUUCAGAACUCCCAUUUUCAAAUAAUUUUUUCAAAAUUCAAAUUUUUAAAUUUAAUUUUCGAGACUUCAAUUUUCAAAUAAAUUUCAAAACUCCAGUUUUCAUUCAAAUAGUUUUAAUUCCACUCCAUUUUUCAAAUAUUUUAGAUUCACAAAUUUUCUUUCAUUUUCAAAUAAUCUUUUGUUUUCCUUAAUUUUUUUAAAUAAGCAUGAAUAUGCAAUUUUCAUAAUUCCAAAACAAUGGAAUUUGUGGGAUUAAUUCAUGCAAAAUCAUUUGGGCUUUGGUGGGGGCCUUACAUAUGAAUUUUCUUUUCUGAUUGUCGAUUGUUAUGUUUAAUGAAUAUUGCUUGAUCUUUGUCUUGCUCUUUGAUAUUCAUGUGAUAAUUUUAUACUUGAGCUAACCAUGUUUCUAUGAUAGCGCAUUAUUACUUGCUUCUAAGGUACGAUUUCACUCCCACUGAGCUUAUUCUUAUGUAUGAUUUAUUUUAUUAUUCGAUCAUUUCAUUAGUAUUCAUCGAUUUCCUUAUCAAUUGCCACACUUGCCUCACCUUAUUUAGUAGAGACCCGUUUUUUGGGGCUUAGAUGGGUGCUACGGCUCACCACCGUACCUUCCCAAUAGGUAGCCUUACCCCUGGACCUAGACUCGAUUUUUCAUAGACCUGUUUUUUCUUCAAGAGUUACACUUAGGAUUUUGUUUUUCCCUUAAAAAAAUAAAACAAAAAUAAGUGGCGACUCCAAGUCUUUUCUAAAAAUCAUAUUUUCACCAAAUCAAUUAAAAAGCGAGUUGCACCAUUGAGUGGGAACGCAUCGUGCGAAAUGCGGGGUCCAUAGUCACAAAAAAUAUUUUUUUUAAUCAUUUUAGUUAAAGUCUCAAUUGACAACUGAGACUUCAUUUUUUAAGUGAAGCCUCAAUUGACAAUUGUGACUUUAUUUUUUAACUGAAACCUCAAUUGAUAACUGAGGCUUCAUUUUUGAACUGAAGCUGUAGUUGCCAACUGAUGCUUCAUUUUUAAACUGAAAUCUCUAUUGGUAACUACGACUUCAUUUUUGAGCUAAAACCGCAAUUGUCAAUUGAGACUUUAGUUAAUUUUGUUUUUAAAUUUAAAUUUAAUUAAAAAUUAUUAACUAAUAAUUUAUUAUUGAAAUAAAAAAUAUAUACUUUAAUAAUAAAUUAUUUAUAUUUAAACUUAAGAAUCUAAUAUUAUUUCAACAAACAUAAAUUGAUAGAUAGAAGAUAUUAUAAAUGAAUAUUUUAUUUAUUAAUAAUCUUAAAAUAAUAAAUUUAUAUAACAUAUAAAUAAGAUAUAAAAUUGUAUAAUUUAUUCAUUUAAGAUAUUUAAUUUAUUAUUUUUUUAAUAUAUUAAUUUAUUUGUAUUAUAUCAAAUUUAUCCAUGGGUUCUUUAUUUGUGGAGGCAUAUGAGAUUAUAUGUGUUUUUUUUUUUCCAGCAUAUAAAUGUUUAGUGAGUAUUUUUUGUGACUUUGAUGAAACUACUAAAAUUUUUAUUUUUUAGUAGACUUUUUCUAAUUAAUUUCAUUAACUAAUUUUAUCAAAAAAUCUAUAUAUGAAAACUUAAGAGUAUACUAUUAUUUCGAUAAAGAUAAAUUUGUCAUAAUACAAAUAAAUUAAUAUCUUAAAAAAUAACAAAUUAAAUAUCUUAAAUUAAUAAAUUAUAAAAUUUGAUAACUUAUUUGUAUGUCAUAUAAUUUUAUUAUUUUAAGAUUAUUAUUUUAUUGUAUUAUAUUUAUCAUUUAUGUUUAUUGAAGUAAUACUAGAUUUUUAAGUUUAAAUAUAAAUAAUUUAUUAUUAAAGUAUAUAUUUUUAAUUUCAAUAAUAAGUUGUAAUUUAAUAGUUUUUUUAUUAAAUUUGAAAGUAAAAAAAAAAUAUUAACUGAAACUUCAAUUGGCAACUGCGGUUUAGGAGUAUACUAUUAUUUCGAUAAAAAUAAAUUUAUCAUAGUAUAAAUAAAUUAAUAUCUUAAAAAACAACAAAUUAAAUAUCUUAAAUUAAUAAAUUAUAUAAUUUUAUAUCUUAUUUAUAUGUUAUAUAAAUUUAUUAAUAAAUAAAAUAUUGAUUUAUAAUAUCUUCUAUUUAUCAAUUUAUAUUUGUUGACAUAAUACUAGAUUCUUAAGCUUAAAUAUAAACAAUUUAUUAUUAAAGUAUAUAUUCUAAAUUUUAAUAAUAAAUUAUAAUUUAAUAGUUUUUAAUUAAAUUUUAAAAAAAAAAAUAACUCAAACCUCAGUUGACAAUUGAGACUUUAGUUCAAAAAUAAGGUCUUAGUCGUCAAAUGAGACUUUAAUUAAAAAAAUGAAAUCUCAAUUAGCAAUUACGACUUUAGUUCAAAAAUUAAAGUCUCAAUUAACAACUGUGACUUUAGUUUAAAAGUGAAAUCUCAGUUGCCAAUUGAGACUUUAACUAAAAUUAAAAAAAAAAAAAUAUUUUUAUGACAUGCCUCCUAUGUAACAUCAAAUAUCAAAGAGACUAAUUUAAACAUAAAUUUCAUAAAAUGGUUACAUCCAAUAUUUUUUUUUAUAUAAAUGGGACAUUUUGACCCAAAACUCUGCUUCACUACUAUUUGGUCAAUUUCAUGACAUGCCCUUUGACGUGAAGUUCUUUACAUUAGUUCCUAAAAUCGAUUUUUCACAUUGACCUUGGUCAAUAGGCUGUGCUUUAAGCUUUGUUUACUGGACACGGUUGUUCAUUUGGAAGAAUCAAGGAAACCCCCCUUAGUGUCCUGGAAUUUUCUUCUUUCCACUUCUGACAUUCCAGACAAGAGUGGGUGAACCAAGUACGAACUUUUGAAUUGGUCCAUUUGGUUCUUAUUGCAAUUCAGUCGACAGCAAAGGUGAUUUCGUACACAAGGACUUACUGGGAAUCUUCUCCAUCAAUUUUGUGGUUGGUAAAAUCUGAUAUAUAUGCAAACACCAACGUCACUGUUGUUUAGAACAUUACAAAUCAAAUGGUCCUUCAAACCCUACUUACUUGCCGUGCAUGAUAAUGAGGUGAAAUCAUCUGCAGAGAGGAACAAGCCCAUAGAAAAAGACCAUGUUCAAGAAAAAGCAAAUUGGUUGUUUUGUAGCUGUUAAAACAUAUGCCCAAUGCGACGAAAUAGUAAAUUCCAAAAACAGGAGGAACAGAGUUCAGAGGAUUCUACAAGUACAUGACUAAGAGGAGUGAAACCCUGUUUAUGCACUCCCAUUCCUAAAAGCCCGUUCUAAUCUGCAACAAAGUGAACGCAAGAUUGCUAGAAAGCCUACACGAAAACUAUAACCCACCAUGAUUGAAGGCAGUAAUAUACCAAUCUAUCAGGUUCCAUCAUCUUUAACAAAAUAUCAAGGACAUUAGCAGAAUGGAAGGACAUAUGAUCAAUAAAUUUAUGUCAAAAAUGAGAAAAAAUACACAUGAGAAAGUAUUAUAGAUGUGCAUACCUUUCGAGUCUUCAACAUUCGAAAACCAUCUCUAAAUCAGCCAUGACUUAGAAUCUCUAUAUGUUUAUACAAUUUACACUGCAGAGAUUAGAACCAGGAACACAUAUCUCCAUAUAGUCCAGAGCAACUCUUACCUAUGGCUCCAUCUUUGUCAUACCCAACCAAAGUACGACAAUUGUAGUUGAUGUGUAACAAACACAAGAAAUUUAUAAAUUUCUUUAGUAUUUCAUGAAUGAAAGAUGUUACUAAACACCUGGAAGCACUCCAAUGUUAUAAAAGAGGACAUAAGACUCUGAGCAAUAAGGACUAAACAAAAUAUCCCAUGUGACACUAAACGGUUGGCAGAAAUAGAUGCAACUCAAUUUUCAUAACAAAAUAAUUACAGCAUCCUAGGAAGAGCCAAAAUAAGGCCCUUCAAUAACUCCAUGAUGUUGAUACUCCAUUAAAGAAUAACCUUCGAGAACACUAAAGUCUACAUCUACGAAAAGUCGAGGGUAAGGGUAAAAACUAAAAUAAUCUUUUUUUGAAGAAGUUGGUCACAUAGAGCACCAGUCAGAACCAGUGUAAGUUAUCAAAGCACGAGAUAACAUGAAAUAAACAAAUCUAAGUUCAACAAAUUCACAUUAGCAAGGUUAAUUCGACCUUGGAAUCAGUAACUCCAACUUUCAUUCAUAAACAAUCAUUCAAUUUAGAAAUAAAAUGAGAACAAAUUCUGCCAAACAACUCUGAUUGGACAGCCAAACUAUCAUACUUCCUAAUACCUUUCAACUUUUCAGUAUAUUUUGUAUGGAUAAAAAAUAGAUAAAUCUUCAAGUCAGGAAAGAACUACGAAUGGAAGUGUGACAGUUUAGUAAGAUUUAUCAUUCAUUUUAAGAAACCAACUGGAAAGGCAGAAUUGUGGGCUUUUGCAGUUAAGUGUCACAAGUAGAAUGGUUCUGAAGGUUUAAGACAUUAGCAAUGGCAAAUGAAAUUAAACAUGGAUAUUGUUGAUGCACUGUACCUGUUCCAACCGCAAAGAGAAUAGAAAUCGAGCUAUCAUGUGCUAAUUUUAUUCAAAUUGCACAGAGAUGGUACAUGUCCUCCAAUCACCAUAUGAUCUAUUGGCCAUUAAAUCUAAAAUGCUGAAGCUACGAAAAUUACAUCCCUCAACUUCCACCUCCCAACUCCCCAAAAAAGGAAAAGAAAAAGAGGGUUCAAGUUUUCUUCUGAUACAGCUUAGGACUUAGAAGCAAUAGGAAAACAAUAUCCACCAACCACAAAAUAUCCUCCCUCCUUACGAAAAGAAAAUAAUUGAUGAUUGGGCAAAGAACAGAGAGACUUAAAAACAAUCAUAAGAAUCAUAAUGAACAAGAAUGCAAAGGAUCCUAAACCACAAUUGAAAGAAUGUUUUACCAAGCACUCUUCUCCCCAGCUGAAUAGUACUUGAGAUACCACCUAACAAAUUUUUUCAAGCCUGUCUGUAGAUCUGUUGUGGGCUUAUACCCGAGCUCCCUUUGAGCCAAGCUGAUGUUGGCAUGGGUAAACUGCACAUCCCCAUUCCUUGGCAUCUUUAUCAUCUUCCUUUUUGCCUUCACCUUCAGGAGCCUCUCCAAAAUGCUCACAAGAUCCGUAACUGGAACUGGUGAUGUGUUGCCCAAAUUGAAAAUCCUCAAUUGAGCUGGCCCCUUCUUCUUCCCUCCACUACCAGUGCUCUUCUCCGCCGUAUCCAAUGCUGCCACACACCCCUUCACGAUAUCAUCAAUGUAGGUAAAAUCCCGGGCAACCGUACCACGAUUUGGUGCCUCAAAGAUGGGAAUCGAUUUCUCCUUCAAAAUAUCCCGCGUGAAAAAGAAAUACGCCAUAUCAGGCCUCCCCCAAGGUCCGUAAACGGUAAAGAACCUCAACCCAGUAAGCGAAAGGCCAUAUAUAUGAUUAUAAGUAUGGGCAAUCUCUUCGCCAGCCUUCUUGGUGGCGGCAUACAGGCUGGCAGGCUGAUCAGUCCGAUCUCUCUCGGAAAAGGGUACCUUUGUAUUGAGUCCAUACACUGAACUCGAAGAAGCCCACACAAUUGCAGGCUGUGGAUUCGCAGAUUUACAGACUUCAAGAAGAUUAACAAGGCCAGCAAUAUUACUA